GACGAACGCUGGCGGCGUGCCUAACACAUGCAAGUCGAACGAGGUUGCGUGAAGCACAGAGUGCUUUGGAGAAGCGGAGCACUGUGUGCUUUGCGCAGCUUAGUGGCGGACGGGUGAGUAACGCGUGAGCAAUCUGCCUUUCGGAGGGGGAUACCGGCUGGAAACGGUCGUUAAUACCGCAUAACGUAUAGAGAUGGCAUCGUCUUUAUACCAAAGGAGCAAUCCGCCGAAAGAUGAGCUCGCGUCUGAUUAGCUAGUUGGUGAGGUAACGGCCCACCAAGGCUGCGAUCAGUAGCCGGACUGAGAGGUUGAACGGCCACAUUGGGACUGAGAUACGGCCCAGACUCCUACGGGAGGCAGCAGUGGGGAAUAUUGGGCAAUGGGGGAAACCCUGACCCAGCAACGCCGCGUGAAGGAAGAAGGCCCUCGGGUUGUAAACUUCUUUGACCAGGGAAGAAAGAAAUGACGGUACCUGGAAAACAAGCCACGGCUAACUACGUG
RNAcentral lists this ribosomal RNA (501 nucleotides) under uncultured organism. Its description in RNAcentral is "bacterial SSU rRNA". It matches the Rfam family "Bacterial small subunit ribosomal RNA", at positions 28 to 507 of the family's 1533-position model. The record is from RNAcentral.